This 599-nucleotide ribosomal RNA is filed under the name Marisediminitalea aggregata. RNAcentral's name for it is "bacterial SSU rRNA". It matches the Rfam family "Bacterial small subunit ribosomal RNA", at positions 80 to 681 of the family's 1533-position model. The record is from RNAcentral. Lineage: Bacteria; Pseudomonadati; Pseudomonadota; Gammaproteobacteria; Alteromonadales; Alteromonadaceae.
GCACUUCGCUGACGAGUGGCGGACGGGUGAGUAAUGCUUGGGAACUUGCCUUUAGGUGGGGGAUAACAGUUGGAAACGACUGCUAAUACCGCAUAAUGUCUACGGACCAAAGGGGGCUUCGGCUCCCGCCUUGAGAGAGGCCCAAGUGAGAUUAGCUAGUUGGUGGGGUAAAGGCCUACCAAGGCAACGAUCUCUAGCUGUUCUGAGAGGAAGAUCAGCCACACUGGGACUGAGACACGGCCCAGACUCCUACGGGAGGCAGCAGUGGGGAAUAUUGCACAAUGGGGGAAACCCUGAUGCAGCCAUGCCGCGUGUGUGAAGAAGGCCUUCGGGUUGUAAAGCACUUUCAGUUGUGAGGAAAGGUUGGUAGUUAAUACCUGCCAGCUGUGACGUUAACAACAGAAGAAGCACCGGCUAACUCCGUGCCAGCAGCCGCGGUAAUACGGAGGGUGCGAGCGUUAAUCGGAAUUACUGGGCGUAAAGCGCACGCAGGCGGCUUGUUAAGCUAGAGGUGAAAGCCCCGCGCUCAACGUGGGAACUGCCUUUAGAACUGGCAGGCUAGAGUCUUGGAGAGGGGAGUGGAAUUCCAGGUGUAGCGG